GCAAGUCGAACGAAGUCUUCGGACUUAGUGGCGGACGGGUGAGUAACACGUGGGAACGUGCCUUUAGGUUCGGAAUAACUCAGGGAAACUUGUGCUAAUACCGAAUGUGCCCUUCGGGGGAAAGAUUUAUCGCCUUUAGAGCGGCCCGCGUCUGAUUAGCUAGUUGGUGAGGUAAAGGCUCACCAAGGCGACGAUCAGUAGCUGGUCUGAGAGGAUGAUCAGCCACAUUGGGACUGAGACACGGCCCAAACUCCUACGGGAGGCAGCAGUGGGGAAUCUUGCGCAAUGGGCGAAAGCCUGACGCAGCCAUGCCGCGUGAAUGAUGAAGGUCUUAGGAUU
This 339-nucleotide ribosomal RNA is filed under the name uncultured bacterium. RNAcentral's name for it is "bacterial SSU rRNA". It matches the Rfam family "Bacterial small subunit ribosomal RNA", at positions 57 to 424 of the family's 1533-position model. The record is from RNAcentral.